AGCACCUCAAGUGGUCAGGAUGAUUAUUGGGCCUAAAGCAUCCGUAGCCGGCUUUGUUAGUUUUCGGUUAAAUCCAUAUGCUCAACAUAUGGGCCGCCGGGAAUACUACAAAGCUAGGGAGUGGGAGAGGUAGACGGUACUCCGUAGGAAGGGGUAAAAUCCUUUGAUCUAUGGAUGACCACCAGUGGCGAAGGCGGUCUACCAGAACACGUCCGACGGUGAGGGAUGAAAGCUGGGGGAGCAAACCGG
Molecule: ribosomal RNA, 249 nt
Filed under: uncultured archaeon
Lineage: Archaea
Description: partial 16S ribosomal RNA
Rfam family: Archaeal small subunit ribosomal RNA
Source: RNAcentral